Molecule: non-coding RNA, 861 nt
Organism: Corylus avellana
Lineage: Eukaryota; Viridiplantae; Streptophyta; Magnoliopsida; Fagales; Betulaceae
Source: RefSeq, a predicted model, not a curated record
GCCACCAAACAAGUAUUUUGCAUUUGCAGGUUUCUUCCACUUGCUUGAAAGCGUUUUAAUUCCAAAAGACAAUGAGAAUGCUUGCUUGUCUUCAAGUGAAAUCGGUUGCUGUGCUCCAAGGGUAUUGACUGGAAUUGAAGAUCAUGUUAGCCAACCACUUUGUUUAUGUGUCUCUUGUUAGCGCAAUGCUUCAAUUAGUACUGCCUUUGCAUAUAUUUUUUGCAAUUUAUAUUCAUGGUUCUGUUAUAUCUAAAUAGGCUUUUAUAAAAUCCAGUGUUGAAAAUUGUGUAUGUAGUGCUUGAAAAUUCAGCCUAUUGCGCCAGGUUGCUCAGUUUCUUUCUGUGGUGGACUAUGGAUAGCAAAGUAAUAUUGCAGUAUUUGCAAAUUUUAAAAUGAUAAAAGAAGGUUGCUGCUGCUUAUGACUGCAAAAAUGUUGAAUGCGUUUUUCUCCAUCAGCUGAAGCAGUUUGACAGGAACUACCACUUGAAGAUGAAAGCAUCUAGGUUUAUUUUCAGUGAAAUAAAUCAGAUAUUUCUUCCCAUGCCAUUCACAGCUAGGUGUGUUGUGCCUUCACCGCUUUUUUUAGAACAUCGUCUUUUGGUGAAUGUGUUAAUCAUGAACUCUGGCAGCCAUAUCCUGUUCUUCAUGAGAAGCCUGCCGGUAGGAAACUUGUAUCUGGGUUAAAUGCAGAACCCUGGCCAGAUUCACACAAACGCACACAGUUGAUUUUUGCUAAUGCUAGAUGGUUCGAAUGGAGUCGCAUCUCAUCCUCUGCAGGAGCUGCAGCCCACAAAGACAACAGAUGAUCCCGAAAUCAAGGCCUUGUUAGCCUUGGGCGCAAAGAACAAGAAGAAAGGUAAG